GCCGUCGUAGCUCAGUCGGUAGAGCAACUGUCUCGUAAUCAGUAGGUCGGGAGUUCGAUUCUCUCCGACGGCACCA
RNAcentral lists this transfer RNA (76 nucleotides) under bacterium. Its description in RNAcentral is "tRNA-Thr". It matches the Rfam family "tRNA". Rfam says of the family: Transfer RNA (tRNA) molecules are approximately 80 nucleotides in length. Their secondary structure includes four short double-helical elements and three loops (D, anti-codon, and T loops). RNAcentral also lists the same sequence under 2 other names. The record is from RNAcentral.